Molecule: ribosomal RNA, 401 nt
Filed under: uncultured Bacillota bacterium
Lineage: Bacteria; Bacillati; Bacillota
Description: uncultured Firmicutes bacterium partial 16S ribosomal RNA
Rfam family: Bacterial small subunit ribosomal RNA
Source: RNAcentral
UGGGGAAUAUUGGGCAAUGGGCGAAAGCCUGACCCAGCGACGCCGCGUGAAGGAAGAAGGUCUUAGGAUUGUAAACUUAAAUCCGCCGGGGAAGAUAAUGACGGUACCCGGAGGGAAGCCACGGCUAACUACGUGCCAGCAGCCGCGGUAAUACGUAGGUGGCGAGCGUUGUCCGGAAUUACUGGGUGUAAAGGGUGAGCAGGCGGGGCAGAAAGUCGAAUGUAAAAGGUAUGAGCUCAACUCAUACAUGCAUACGAAACUUCAGUUCUUGAGUGCGGGAGAGGUAAGCGGAAUUCCCAGUGUAGCGGUAAAAUGCGUAGAUAUUGGGAGGAACACCGGUGGCGAAGGCGGCUUACUGGACCGUAACUGACGCUGAGACACGAAAGCGUGGGGAGCAAACA